GUAAAACACCGGUUCCCAUAAGAUCACCGAAGUUAAGCAACGUUUAGCCGAGUCAGUACCUACAUGGGGGACUGCUUUGGAAUACCAGGUGCUGUAA
Molecule: non-coding RNA, 97 nt
Organism: Acanthosepion pharaonis
Lineage: Eukaryota; Metazoa; Mollusca; Cephalopoda; Sepiida; Sepiidae
Source: the annotation of a GenBank genome assembly